AGCAGAAUUGCUGGGUCACUUGGUAACUCGUUUAGCUCUUUGAGAAACUACCAAGCUGUUUUCUGUAGUGGCUGUAACAUUUUUACAUUCCCACCAGAAAU
Molecule: microRNA precursor, 101 nt
Filed under: Marmota monax (woodchuck)
Lineage: Eukaryota; Metazoa; Chordata; Mammalia; Rodentia; Sciuridae
Source: RNAcentral